This 124-nucleotide ribosomal RNA is filed under the name Propithecus coquereli (Coquerel's sifaka). Lineage: Eukaryota; Metazoa; Chordata; Mammalia; Primates; Indriidae. The record is from RNAcentral.
GUCUACGGCCACACUGCCCUGAAUGUGCCUGAUCUCACCUGAUCUCGGAAGCUAAGCAGGGUCAUGCCUGGUUAGUUCUUGGAUGGGAGAUCAACCCCUGGGAAUAGUGCAGGAGCAACACACU